UCUGCCACGCCUGCUCACCCGCCAGCUUGGAUGACUCUCCCGGCCGCAUGGCAGUACCAGCCUGUCUGGGAUGAGCCACCACUCUGCCACUCGCCACAGGAAAUCUGUACCACUCACGCCAGCAUUAUUUUUUAAGGAAUAUUAGACCUUGCUUUAUAACUGGCUUUCAAGUGGUCCUAUAGCAUGAACUGGACUAUCUACUCUCCUCCAUUUGGUUGUGGGGACCAAAAGUAUCUUAGGAUUUUUCUUUACAAGUCUAAGAAUCUAUCUGACUUCUUUGCUAUGAUUGUUAGUGGUGUUUCGAUCGUGAAAAAAUUGAGAACUGGGAGAAUACAAGUUUUCCAUGAAAACUUGGAAGUUAUUAAAGGUGCAAUAUGUCUGUGGGCUAGUGGAGAGUCAAAAUGCACAUUGCUCAGAGUUUGUGACGCUCACCCACCUGCAUACGGACAGAACUGGUGGUGAAUAGUCAGAUAGGAGCCAGUUUCUUCUCUCCUCAGUGCAAAGGAUCCUGGAGAAAGGACCAAAGGACCAUUCCAUCUGUACAGUGAGUGGGAAGUAGCAGCAGCAAUUUUUUAGGUUUUGAAAAGACAUUCAACAGUCUUUGAUGUCAGUGGCUCCAGUUUCCAUCAGGAGCUUAAAACUAUCAUAAUGAGUACAUCCAAAGAAUCAUGUGAUGAGGACAACAGCUCACUAAUUAUUAUGCAUGUGUACAUUGUGAUUCUAGAUGCACUUUUGGCCACCCUUUGGUGUGUCUUUAUGAGAUACUUUAAUGGCUUGCACAAUAUUUAGUUUUGAUUUUCAAACUGGUAGCCAGUCAUUGUUUCUGGGUAAUGAAAAUUAUCCAGUAUGGCUUGUGGGAGAUGGUUUUCUGCUGUGUGAUCAUGUGACUAUUCUCUUAUUGUAUAGAAAACAUGCAUGUUUUGUUUACUGAAGAAAAUUUCAAAGGAAAACUACCUCCAGUAAGGGUCAUAAUCCUUGAAGAGUCAGAAUAUUAGUGUUAUUUCACAUAUAUGUAAAUGGAGCCCUAGCACGCCUUGUCUAUGCAAUCUCUUCUGGGGGGCUAUCUCUCCCACUUCAUCUCCUGCUCCUGCACCCAGGUCCAGAAAGGGAAUAGCAUGCUUUCCUUUCUUGGUCUCCAAAAUUGUGUUGCUCUUUCUUCUCUGUCGACUUUAUUCUGCUCCACUCCCAUCUCCCAGGGAACCCAUUUCUCUUCCUUUGCAUACACCGCAAAGCCCAUUUCCUCAAAUUACCCACCAGUGUCACUCAGACUAAACUGUUUUCUGUGGAAAUGUGCAAAAUUGUUUUCUAAUUUCAGGUACAGAUGUGACUACAGCUUGUUUAGAAGUAGUUUUUUAAAAUAUAUUUUAGACUCUUGAAUUUUAAGAUCCUAGAAAGCAAGAGCACUGUUUUUCUCAGGUCAGAAGGUAGGUUUGUGAGAGCAUUAACCACAGAUGUCAAAUUCACACUCUCAAGGCCCUUACCUAUCCAUGGAGCAAGCACAGACACAAUUGGUGUCAUCAUCUCAGGUCCAUGGUGUAUCUUUAUCAGGAAACGUAUGGUCUAAGUCUGAGAACAGAUUAAAAGAUUUCUGCUACAGGAGGACUAUUUUGGGAUGGCUAAUGAAGUCCUUUGUCUCUAACAAGGGGUCCUAUGUCCUGAAAGCACCCUUCCAUUUGUGUUAGGUCAAUUCAUUAAAAUGCUGUUGUUUUGGUGGGGAAUCCUUGGUAAACAUACGAACUCCUGCUCGCAAUUUUUAUUUUACCUUCGGCCACUGUCUCCUUCUCUUAUAGGUGAAAACUAUGGCUAAUUGCGAUGCGGUACUAAGCCAUCAGAGCUUGACAGAGAACUUUGUAUUAUGUGUGCCACCUCGGUAACAAAGGACAGUAUCUAUAUCAGCAAGGAAACUUCUAUCCCUGCCCAGCUCUUUUCUGGAGAAUUCAUGCCUUACAAAGGAAACUUGAUUGAUUAUUCCUCGAAGCUGGGCAAUUCAAACAUGGACAUCCACACUAUGAGCUCCCUCAGCUCUCAGAGGAUCAGUGAGGUGUACCCAUGAUGGCCAUAACUUCUAGACAAUAUGUGGUUACCAAAUCAGCAUUUUCUGAACUCAAAGCAGUUGCCCACUGCAAACCUGAGAUCUUGCUGUGUAGCUCAAGCUAGCCUCCAACUUCCCAUUCUUCACUCUCAGACUCCCCGCAAUUGUCAUCAUUUGCCUGUGCCACUAUACCCA
Long non-coding RNA from Myodes glareolus (Bank vole), 2227 nucleotides. RefSeq lists it as uncharacterized. The record is from RefSeq and is a predicted model, not a curated record. NCBI's taxonomy places the organism in Eukaryota, Metazoa, Chordata, Mammalia, Rodentia, Cricetidae.